RNAcentral lists this ribosomal RNA (419 nucleotides) under bacterium. RNAcentral describes it as "partial 16S ribosomal RNA". It matches the Rfam family "Bacterial small subunit ribosomal RNA", at positions 355 to 776 of the family's 1533-position model. The record is from RNAcentral.
UGGGGGAUAUUGCACAAUGGGCGAAAGCCUGAUGCAGCGACGCCGCGUGGGGGAUGAAGGCCUUCGGGUUGUAAACUUCUUUUGCUCUGAACAAGGCAUGCUAAUGGGUGUGUUGAGUGUAGGGGUUGAUUAGCGCCGGCUAACUACGUGCCAGCAGCCGCGGUAAUACGUAGGGCGCGAGCGUUGUCCGGAAUUAUUGGGCGUAAAGGGCUUGUAGGUGGCUGGUUGCGUCUGUCGUGAAAGCUCAUGGCUUAACUGUGGGUUUGCGGUGGGUACGGGCUGGCUUGAGUGCAGUAGGGGAGGCUGGAAUUCCUGGUGUAGCGGUGGAAUGCGCAGAUAUCAGGAGGAAUACCGGUGGCGAGGGCGGGUCUCUGGGCUGUUACUGACACUGAGGAGCGAAAGCAUGGGGAGCGAACAGG